AGCCUCGUAGUGAUUCACGCUAGAAUGCAAAUCUAGAAACGUACACUAAAGGCGUACCGAGGCUU
Molecule: transfer RNA, 65 nt
Filed under: Tropidophorus hangnam
Lineage: Eukaryota; Metazoa; Chordata; Lepidosauria; Squamata; Scincidae
Description: tRNA-Cys
Source: RNAcentral